This is a long non-coding RNA of Gekko japonicus, 728 nucleotides long. RefSeq lists it as uncharacterized. The transcript has 3 exons. The record is from RefSeq and is a predicted model, not a curated record. Lineage: Eukaryota; Metazoa; Chordata; Lepidosauria; Squamata; Gekkonidae.
UGGGAUGGCACAGUAUUUAGACAUGGAGAGGUAUGCCUUGACCUACAGACAGCUCUGCAGACUGGAAAGAUGGAUGCACUGAAUGAAGAAGCUCCCAUAGUGGCAAGUGCAUGAUCCAUUGCAUAAGAACAUAAGAAAAAUACAGCUAUGAUAAGAAGCAUAUCUGUUCUUCAUCACCCCUUGCCCCACAAAUGAAGUCUACUCCUCAUCCUGCCUCAGCAAAUAGUAUUUGAUAACUACUGGAUAUCACCAGUUCUAUUAUGAAACAAAAGAGUUGUCAGGGUUAUUCUUCAAUCUCUGGAAAUAAAUAUGGCACCUGAAAAUACAGAAAAUCGGCCGUCCCUGAUCUAUUGAACCAGCCUCUAUCAUGAAUGUGAUAAAUGUCUGACCUUUCCAAGGCUCCUCUUCAGACCAAGAGAAAAUGGAAUAUAUUUGAAUUUCAAGAAGACAGGCUAUGAAAACAUAAUGCAUGAGAUCAGUUUUCAUUCACCACUCAGACUAACUACCCCACUCAGUUCAAGCAAUUGCCCACAUGACCAACUACAAGAGGUGCUAAAGUAAUAGGUCCUGCUGGAGUUCCUUUCCUAUAAUUCAUGUAAAGUUUCAUCAAGCUGUGGCCCCGCAAACUAAUUAAGUCCAAGAGGCUUGCGUUUAACCCACUUUUAGUGUUGUUAACUUCAAGGCACAUUUGACUUUUCGAUCUUCUUGUCAUCCUCCUUAUUAUCACA